AUUGGACUAUAUUUCACACAGAUGUGUUGCUGAAUAAAUUAAAUGGGAUUUGGCUCACGCUGUUUGACUCUUCCACUGGCUGGGAUCUGAAAGUCACAAAUUACAUAUUUAAGGAUGAAGAUAACAGUGAAAUCAUGUAGCAUUGCAACCUCUGUCAUGCAGUGCCAGUGAGGAAAGCCCCCAUAACACAGGCCUUGUCAAAGCAUCUCUCCUGCUUUUCAGGGUUUAUUUUUUUCAACCUCUCCUAUGACAUUGAGGAAUUCCCUCUCCUUCAUUGUUUGUGCUACACCCUGCUGAGGAUUUCUCUUAUCUUUCAGGCUGCAGAGGUCCUGUUUAGGCAAAACAAGACCAGGGCAAGAAGGAGAGCGUGGCGGCAAGCAGAGGGGCAGGGAACUGAGGCAUGGAGCUGGCUGGGAAGUGAGGAAGAUGAGGCUCAGGAAGCUCAAGAAGGCAAGUAUUGCUAUGGAUCACAUUUGCCCUUAUGUCCUCUGGCAGGAGGACAGGAAUGAAACUCUUGCAUAUGAUGCACUUGUCCAACACAGAAGCCAGUUACCCAAACACCGAGCAUACUCAG
Long non-coding RNA from Anas platyrhynchos (mallard), 574 nucleotides. RefSeq lists it as uncharacterized. NCBI's taxonomy places the organism in Eukaryota, Metazoa, Chordata, Aves, Anseriformes, Anatidae. The record is from RefSeq and is a predicted model, not a curated record.